CACGUAGGGGGCAAGCGUUGUCCGGAUUUAUUGGGCGUAAAGAGCUCGUAGGCGGUUCGGUAAGUCGGGUGUGAAACCUCCAGGCUCAACCUGGAGACGCCACCCGAUACUGCUGUGACUAGAGUCCGGUAGGGGAGCGUGGAAUUCCUGGUGUAGCGGUGAAAUGCGCAGAUAUCAGGAGGAACACCAGCGGCGAAGGCGGCGCUCUGGGCCGGAACUGACGCUGAGGUGCGAAAGCGUGGGGAGCAAACAGG
This 254-nucleotide ribosomal RNA is filed under the name uncultured bacterium. RNAcentral describes it as "partial 16S ribosomal RNA". It matches the Rfam family "Bacterial small subunit ribosomal RNA", at positions 524 to 776 of the family's 1533-position model. The record is from RNAcentral.